Molecule: RNase MRP RNA, 198 nt
Filed under: Florenciella parvula
Lineage: Eukaryota; Dictyochophyceae; Florenciellales
Description: partial RNase MRP
Rfam family: RNase MRP
About the family: RNase MRP is an enzymatically active ribonucleoprotein with two distinct roles in eukaryotes. In mitochondria it plays a direct role in the initiation of mitochondrial DNA replication. In the nucleus it is involved in precursor rRNA processing, where it cleaves the internal transcribed spacer 1 between 18S and 5.8S rRNAs.
Source: RNAcentral
UUGGGAAAUUCCCCGGACGCUCAGGCAGAAAGUGCCGCCCGGAAACGGGAAACCGACCGAUUGCAAAGCAUUUGGCGAAGACGGCGGGGGGCGACCCUCGUCUGAGCCCCGCGAACGCGAUCGUGAACGUUUCGUCCCAGCAAAGUUAUGCCAUCUGGCAACCUCCUCGGAGGCUUUGCUGCACUCAACGGGGAUUAU